GACGAACGCUGGCGGCGUGCCUAAUACAUGCAAGUCGAACGCAGUUGGGAAGGGUGAGUAACACGUGGGUAACCUCCCAUCAGAGGGGAUAACACUUGGAAACAGGUGCUAAACCGAUCCUGAUGGAUGGACCCGCGGUGCAUUAGCUAGUGGGUGAGGUAACGGCUCACCCAGGCCACGAGGCAUAGCCGACCUGAGUGGUGGAUCGGCCACACUGGGACUGAGACACGGCCCAGACUCCUAGGGGAGGCAGCAGUAGGGAAUCGUCGGCAAUGGACGAAAUUCGGACCGAGCAACGCGGCGUGAGUGAAGAAGGUUUUCGGAUCGUAAAACUCUGUUGUUAGAGAAGCGGUAUCUAACCAGAAAGCCACGGCUAACUACGUGCCAGCCGCCGCGGUAAUUC
RNAcentral lists this ribosomal RNA (403 nucleotides) under uncultured bacterium. Its description in RNAcentral is "partial 16S ribosomal RNA". It matches the Rfam family "Bacterial small subunit ribosomal RNA", at positions 28 to 526 of the family's 1533-position model. The record is from RNAcentral.